UGGGGAAUAUUGGACAAUGGGCGAAAGCCUGAUCCAGCCAUGCCGCGUGUGUGAAGAAGGCCUUUUGGUUGUAAAGCACUUUAAGUGGGGAGGAAAAGCUUAUGGUUAAUACCCAUAAGCCCUGACGUUACCCACAGAAUAAGCACCGGCUAACUCUGUGCCAGCAGCCGCGGUAAUACAGAGGGUGCAAGCGUUAAUCGGAAUUACUGGGCGUAAAGCGCGCGUAGGUGGUUAUUUAAGUCAGAUGUGAAAGCCCCGGGCUUAACCUGGGAACUGCAUCUGAUACUGGAUAACUAGAGUAGGUGAGAGGGGAGUAGAAUUCCAGGUGUAGCGGUGAAAUGCGUAGAGAUCUGGAGGAAUACCGAUGGCGAAGGCAGCUCCCUGGCAUCAUACUGACACUGAGGUGCGAAAGCGUGGGUAGCAAACAGGAUUAGAUACCCUGGUAGUCCACGCCGUAAACGAUGUCUACCAGUCGUUAGGUCUUUUAAAGACUUAGUGACGCAGUUAACGCAAUAAGUAGACCGCCUGGGGAGUACGGCCGCAAGGUUA
This 549-nucleotide ribosomal RNA is filed under the name uncultured bacterium. Its description in RNAcentral is "bacterial SSU rRNA". It matches the Rfam family "Bacterial small subunit ribosomal RNA", at positions 355 to 896 of the family's 1533-position model. The record is from RNAcentral.